RNAcentral lists this transfer RNA (76 nucleotides) under Candidatus Levybacteria bacterium RIFCSPHIGHO2_01_FULL_40_58. Its description in RNAcentral is "tRNA-Lys". It matches the Rfam family "tRNA". Rfam says of the family: Transfer RNA (tRNA) molecules are approximately 80 nucleotides in length. Their secondary structure includes four short double-helical elements and three loops (D, anti-codon, and T loops). Further hydrogen bonds mediate the characteristic L-shaped molecular structure. tRNAs have two regions of fundamental functional importance: the anti-codon, which is responsible for specific mRNA codon recognition, and the 3' end, to which the tRNAs corresponding amino acid is attached (by aminoacyl-tRNA synthetases). tRNAs cope with the degeneracy of the genetic code in two manners: having more than one tRNA (with a specific anti-codon) for a particular amino acid; and 'wobble' base-pairing, i.e. permitting non-standard base-pairing at the 3rd anti-codon position. Lineage: Bacteria; Candidatus Levyibacteriota. The record is from RNAcentral. RNAcentral also lists the same sequence under 5 other names.
GGGCCGCUAGCUCAAUUGGCAGAGCAAGAGCCUUUUAAGCUCUGGGUUCAGGGUUCGAGUCCCUGGCGGCUCACAA